Oreochromis niloticus (Nile tilapia) is the source of this 2059-nucleotide long non-coding RNA. RefSeq lists it as uncharacterized. The transcript has 4 exons. Lineage: Eukaryota; Metazoa; Chordata; Actinopteri; Cichliformes; Cichlidae. The record is from RefSeq and is a predicted model, not a curated record.
GGAAUGGGGUCUUACAAGCAGUCACACUUCAACUGUGAAACUCCCUUGUCCUUAUGGUGUAUUGACACUAUUGAAACUUUUCAAAAGCAGUCUAAUGUUAGAAGAGCUUUUAGGUAAACUGUUAUUAUUCUUCUUAUCAUUAUUAUAUAUUUUAUUAAUUAUAUUUUUAUUAUGAUGUUGAUUUGGGUGACAAUUAUUUGAUAAAUAUUAUGUAUUAAUUUUUUAAACAUAUUAACCAUCCCUAUGCUUAAAUAAAUAAAAUUGUUCUUUUAAACUUGUGCAUUGUUUGACUUUUAAAAUUUUUGUAUCAGGUGUAAAAUGACUUUUUAAAUAAAGUUGUUUUUAAUGUGAGCAGCUCCUAUUGGCUCGUUUAAAAACAGGGAGGAGCAGAUUGCACUGCCUAGCGUCUAGUCUUCGCGGUCUUUCGUCAGUUGCGCCUUUUCUCUCCCUGGUGUUUGAGAACGUAGAGGACAAAAGGAUACCAAAGAAUCGAAAACUAUGACAAAGAUUCUUCAAGAUCACAAGCACCAUCUUUAGCAUGUUGCCAUGGUAGCAGAUACAGGGGGAACAAGUGUAGACGAUGCCACAAGAAGGAUGAUGAAAUUCCUCAUAUCACCUGAGCUGGCUGUGGAGUACAGUAUGCUUGGCCGACAUGGGGAAAAAAAAGUUCAGAGAUUUGCGUCUUUUUAAUAUUGUGUAUGAGGCACUGAAGAAGAAUUAUUUAACAUCAGAAGUCAACUUGCAAGAAGCAGAGAAGGCUCUGUCCAAGUGGUUCACUGGAGCUAAAGACAGAGGAGGACCGAGGGCUGCAAGGGUACAAAAUAGACUUACGGCUCUGUAAAAAAACAAAAAAAGAAACCCUGCUGAUUCAAGAUAAGCUUUUGAGUUUUCCAUCUGACUUUUUCUCACUGUUGCAACAGUUCUGAAUAUCUAAGGAAUUUUGAUGUAGUUUGACAUUUCUAGUUUUUUAAAAGUUUACGCACUUUGGAAUACAGUUACUUAAAAUCACAGUUGUUGGACAAAAUAAAUGUGAAAACUUUUGUUUUGUGUACCCUUGUGAUUUUUGAAAUGGUUUUAUUAACAAACUAGUUUUUGUUUGCGGUCAGCUUUAAUAUAUUUGGUGUCUUUGUGUCACAGAACCCAUAUUAGCCGUCUGAAAAAUUGAUUUUGUGACUGUUUUACUACAUGGGGCCCAUUCAGUGCCAGAAAUUAGCCAAUUCAAACUAGAAGUAAGAUGCAACUACAGAACCCACUGAUAAUGCCAUUCAAACUUUUUAGCUCAUGUUUUCCUCAUGUUGUACCCACUAAGAACUUGAAAAAUGGGGCCCGGGUGGGUUUCUGUGUACUUUGCCCAUUUGGGGCACAUUUAGCUCCCAGAUUUUACCAAUAUAACACCGAGAUGGGCAUUUAAUAUGGGGCCAUUAUGGAACCUGCGGACAAUCCCACUUAAAACCCACUUUUUAGCCUUUGUGGUACCCACAUGGUACCCACAAAAACUUGAAAGAUGGGGCCCAGGUGGGUUUCUGUGUACUUUGCCCAUUUGGGGCACAUUUAGUUCCCGGAUUUUACCAAUAUAACACCGAGAUGGGCUUAUAAAAUGGGGCCAUUAUGGAACCCGCGGACAAUCCCACUUAAAACCCACUUUUUAGCCUUUGUGGUACCCACAUGGUACCCACAAAAACUUGAAAGAUGGGGCCCGGGUGGGUUUCUGUGUACUUUGCCCAGUUGGGGCACAUUUAGUUCCCAGAUUUUACCAAUAUAACACCGAGAUGGGCUUAUAAAAUGGGGCCAUUAUGGAACCCGCGGACAAUCCCACUUAAAACCCAUUUUUUAGCCUUUGUGGUACCCACAUGGUACCCACAAAAACUUGAAAGAUGGGGCCCGGGUGGGUUUCUGUGUAAUUUGCCCAGUUGGGGCACAUUUAGUUCCCAGAUUUUACCAAUAUAACACCGAGAUGGGCAUUUAAUAUGGGGCCAUUACGGAACCCGCGGACAAUCCUAUAUGGGGCCCAUUUUUCAGCCCAUUUCCAAACCAUAUGGGCCCCACAUAUAAAUGUUGG